AAUGAACGCUGGCGGCGUGCUUAACACAUGCAAGUUUUGGACGAGAAAGGCUGAUUUUCGGUUGGCCGAGUAAAGUAGCGCACGGGUGAGUAACGCGUAGGCAACCUACCCUUGUAUUGGGGAUAACCCCGCGAAAGCGGGGCUAAUACCGGAUACGAUCCCACGAUGGUGGUUGUGGGAUGAAAGUCAGCCACUCGAAGAAGCUGACGUACGAGGAUGGGCCUGCGUCCUAUCAGCUAGUUGGUGGGGUAGUGGCCUACCAAGGCGACGACGGGUAGCUGGUCUGAGAGGAUGAUCAGCCACACUGGCACUGGAACACGGGCCAGACUCCUACGGGAGGCAGCAGUGAGGAAUUUUGCGCAAUGGCCGCAAGGCUGACGCAGCAACGCCGCGUGGGUGAUGAAGGCCUUCGGGUCGUAAAGCCCUGUCAGGUGGGAAGAAAGGCUUGAUUGGGAAUACCGGUUGAGUUUGACGGUACCACCAGAGGAAGCACCGGCUAACUCCGUGCCAGCAGCCGCGGUAA
This 523-nucleotide ribosomal RNA is filed under the name uncultured delta proteobacterium. RNAcentral describes it as "bacterial SSU rRNA". It matches the Rfam family "Bacterial small subunit ribosomal RNA", at positions 29 to 523 of the family's 1533-position model. The record is from RNAcentral. Lineage: Bacteria; Deltaproteobacteria.